UACGUAGGGUGCAAGCGUUAAUCGGAAUUACUGGGCGUAAAGCGUGCGCAGGCGGUUGUGCAAGACCGAUGUGAAAUCCCCGGGCUUAACCUGGGAAUGGCAUUGGUGACUGCACGGCUAGAAUGUGUCAGAGGGGGGUAGAAUUCCACGUGUAGCAGUGAAACUGCGUAGAGAUGUGGAGGAAUACCGAUGGCGAAGGCAGCCCCCUGGGAUAACACUGACGCUCAUGCACGAAAGCGUGGGGAGCAAACAGG
RNAcentral lists this ribosomal RNA (254 nucleotides) under uncultured bacterium. RNAcentral describes it as "partial 16S ribosomal RNA". It matches the Rfam family "Bacterial small subunit ribosomal RNA", at positions 524 to 776 of the family's 1533-position model. The record is from RNAcentral.